This 253-nucleotide ribosomal RNA is filed under the name uncultured bacterium. RNAcentral describes it as "partial 16S ribosomal RNA". It matches the Rfam family "Bacterial small subunit ribosomal RNA", at positions 524 to 776 of the family's 1533-position model. The record is from RNAcentral.
UACAGAGGGUGCGAGCGUUGUCCGGAAUCACUGGGCGUAAAGGGCGCGUAGGCGGCGCGGUAAGCGUGCGGUGAAAGCCCGGGGCUCAACCCCGGGUCGGCCGUGCGGACUGCCGGGCUGGAGCACUGUAGAGGCAGGUGGAAUUCCGGGUGUAGCGGUGGAAUGCGUAGAGAUCCGGAAGAACACCGGAGGCGAAGGCGGGUCUCUGGGCCGAUACUGACGCUGAGGAGCGAAAGCGUGGGGAGCGAACAGG